UGAAACAAUGGACAAACUUGAAAACUGAGGGACUGGCGAAAAGGUUACUCUUACUGCAAUGAAGGAAACAAAGAAAGCUAAUCGCGGGCUGAAAGCAAGAUGGCCAGAGCUGGAGGAACGAGUCCACAGGUGGGUGCUUGAACAACAUGCUGACGGAAGAUGCUUGU
This is a long non-coding RNA of Etheostoma spectabile (orangethroat darter), 167 nucleotides long. RefSeq lists it as uncharacterized. NCBI's taxonomy places the organism in Eukaryota, Metazoa, Chordata, Actinopteri, Perciformes, Percidae. The transcript has 3 exons. The record is from RefSeq and is a predicted model, not a curated record.